GCCGGAGUGACGAAACGGUUUACGUAGAGCCCUUAAAAGGCUCGGCCCGCAAGGGCAUGAGGGUUCGAAUCCCUCCUCCGGCA
Molecule: transfer RNA, 83 nt
Filed under: Chloroflexota bacterium
Lineage: Bacteria; Bacillati; Chloroflexota
Also listed under: 1 other name
Description: Chloroflexi bacterium tRNA-Leu
Rfam family: tRNA
About the family: Transfer RNA (tRNA) molecules are approximately 80 nucleotides in length. Their secondary structure includes four short double-helical elements and three loops (D, anti-codon, and T loops).
Source: RNAcentral